GCCUGGGUAGCUCAGUUGGCAGAGCAUUAGGAAUCGCAUUCCUAAGGUCCAGGGUUCGAAUCCCUGCCCAGGCA
Non-coding RNA from Planococcus citri (citrus mealybug), 74 nucleotides. NCBI's taxonomy places the organism in Eukaryota, Metazoa, Arthropoda, Insecta, Hemiptera, Pseudococcidae. The record is from the annotation of a RefSeq genome assembly.